GUAAGGUUAGCCAUUUAGGAUUGUAACUCAGAAAUAGAACUUACCUCAUUUACAUGAUGUGGCCGUGGGGUGUCUCGUUGCCCAACGCCUUCAUAUUGCUGUGCAUUGAGUGCUCGAUUCGCAAUGAGAGUUUUGGCAUCCCUGGGUGUCUUGUCCACUAGAGCUCCUCCCGGGGACGCAUCCAACAUUUGUCGUUCAUGUGGUAAAAGACCUUCGUAAAAAUAUUGAAGAAGUAGCUCCUCCUUCAUCUGAUGUUGUGGACAAGAAGCAACAAGUGAUUUAAAUCGUUCAUAAUAAGAUGGAAAAGAUUCACCUGGGCUUUGCUGAAUUCCACUAAUCUUCUUUCGAAGAAGAAUGACUCGUGAUGUCGGGAAGAACUUCUCUAAGAAAGCUCGCUGCAUGCUCUCCCAUGAUGUGACAGUGCCGGGAGCCAACUCAUACAACCAAUCCUUGGCCUUCUCCAACAAAGAAAAGGGGAAAGCCUUCAUCUUCAAUAUGUUGCCGUCCACGUUCACCGGUGUCAUACUCGAGCAUACUACUUCGAACUCCUUUAAAUGCUUAUUGGGGUCCUCCAUUGAUAACCCAUGGAACUUGGGUAUAUGAUGUAACAAACUUGACUUCAACUCCAAUUCAUCGGUUUUCUCAGGGGCUGCCCUAGGGUAUUGGAUGCAAAGAGGGGCUGCAUUGGCCAAACCCGAGGCAGAAAGCUCCUUAAUGGUUCGAUUGUCGACUGCCAUGGUUGGUACUUCUUCUUCAACUCUUGCUGUGGCCUCCUCUUCAACCUCAACUUCUUGCUCUUCUAAUUCGGGUUCGGGACUAGGAGGAUUAGACUUGUGUAAUUUCUUUUUCCUUCUCAACGUCCUCUUGAUAGGAGCAUAUUUAUGCGCCUUAGUUAGCUUGUUCUUGUGCAUUUACGUUGUUUUUCCUUAGUUAAAGUAGUCUUUUAAGCUAGUUUUAUGUGUUUUUGAUAGGAGCAUAUUUAUGCGCCUUAGUUUAGCUUGUUCUUGUGCAUUUAUAGUGUUUUUACUUAGUAAAGUAGUCUUUUAAGCUAGUUUUAUGUGUUUUCAGGUUCUAAGGGCAAAGUAUGCAAAGAGGUGCGAAAUGGAGCAUUUUAGAGCAAAAUUGAGCUAGAAUGGAGUGUAUGCUAAUGGAGCACAAGGAAUGGACGAGUUUGAAGGUCAAAGGAGCUUAAGAAAUGAAGAAAUGGAAGUGAAGAACAAAGAAGUCGGAAUUGGCAACCAAAGUUUCUAAAGUUGGAAGUUUCUAUUCUUGGAGGUUUCCAUUUUCGUGAGUUUCUAUUCUUGGCUUUGGGCUUUUAGAUGACAUAAACCCUAAACUCCUUGUGGACCCUAAGCCUAUGCCGCACCUAAACCCUAAUCCUAGCCCACUUAAUCAGCCACACCCUAGGGCCUAAUCAUUUAAUUUCUGCCAAGUUGAACCCUAAUCUAUCUACCCUAAGCCCAUGCCGCACCUAAUGUUCUAGAAACCCUAUUUUCUGGUGGAUUUCCAACCCUUGCCGCACCCAAACCCUAGCCUAUUUGCCUAACCUGAUUUCUUUAGGGUUUGGCUGCCUAUAUAUAUGUGUUUUACCACCAUGCCGCAGGGAUCCUCCCUCUCCACAAAUCAGAAAAUCAUCCAACCCUUUUCCCCACCUUGCCGCAGCCACCAUCACCUUAAUCCCUCCUUGCCGCAACCAUCCUUUACUCCAGCCACCAUUAUACACCUCCAUACACCAUCCAUACCCCUUGCCGCACCACCAUAUCAUCCUAACUCCAUUCCUAAACCAAAACCACAUCCAAAAAUCCCUUUAACCAUCUCUGCCGCAGCAAGGAGAAGAAGAAGAGGAGCUUGACGUGCAGAAAUUCAAAGUGGAAUUCUUAGGCGUUUUAGGUGUAAUCUUUCUUAUGUCUUCGAUGUUUCAAUUCAAUAAACUUUGUGUUGUGAGUAUGAGGAACUAAACCCCCUUAGUUGGGGGGUAAUUCGAAACCAUGUACAUGCUUGCAAUAUGAUUUGAUUACAUUCAGUUGUUGUUUUAUAAGUUGUGGAUUCAAUUCGUUCAUCUAUUUGAUUGAUAACUUAUUUGUGUAUGUUGAUUGAGAGUGCACGCUUAGUUUUCAUGCAUGAAUAUGAUGCUAGAUUAUGAGGGAGUUUCACCUAAUAGUUACAAUCUUAUAAUCACAAGUAGUGAAGGUCGCUUGAAAACGAUCGCGUUGAAUGAAUUCUUAGCAUAAGUUUCAUGCAAUUCAUAGUAACGAAUGCUUCGUCAAUGCUUAUGUUUUUCAUAGAAACUUAAUGAUUCUUGCUUGUAUCUCUAUUAUGCAAUUCAUGUAGGGAACUUGUAGGGAAUGUUUUGGGUUGUCGUAUGCAAUCAUCCAAUUUAAUAACUUGUGGAAAAACUGAGGGUUAAUUAGUGCAAUUCACGGUUAAUUUGGGGCGUUGAGUAUUUAUAAUUUAUUGGAAGAAACAACUGAAAAUCGUUUUGUUUGCAAGUGUGACAUGUGUGGAGAAGAACCUCCUAACUAGCCUUUUAUCCAUCCUUUUCAUCCAAAAACGUUCUUACAAUCUGUUUAGUUUAAAGUUUCUGUUUUGUUUUCAAUUUUCGUCCAAAACAAAUCCCCCUUUAUUUUGAAGUCUUAGAUUAGUUAGAAAGUGUUUUGAUUUGUGUUUUCUAAGUGUUUUGAUUCAAGUUUUUCACUCAAAUUUCGUCCAAGUUCUUGUUAGGUUCUCAAAACUGCCCAGAAAGUGGUUUUUAGGCAGUUUUGAGUUUUAGGUUUGUUUAAGUGUUUUAAAGUUUAGUUUUGCAUUCUUUGAGUCUAGUUUAGUGUUUUAAACCUUGUUUUAGAGUUUUUAAGUCAGUUUCCAAGUGUUUAGCAAUCCCUCCUAAUCCCCGGUCUAGAACGAUCCCUACUUACAUCUUUACUAGAAUUUGACAAAAAGAGGGUUUAAUUUGUGUGCUUAUCUAUUUCGCAUCAGUUUUCAGGUUUUAAGGGCAAAGUAUGCAAAAGGGUGCAUUUUGGAGCCUGUUGGAGCAAAUUAGAGCUUGGAAUGGAAGUCACAUACUUGGAGCAAAGGGAAUGGACGAGAAUGAAGAUUUGAAGAUUUGAGGAGUCCUAGUUGAAGAAGGAUUCCUAAUCAACGAAGGAUUCCUAAUUGAAGAAGGAUUCCUAAUCAACGGAGGAGUCCUAGCUAAGGAUGGAUUCGUAGUCAAAGAUGGAUUCCUAGAAGGAUGAGGAUUCCUACUCAAGCAAGGUUUCCUACUUGACGAAGGAGAAUUAAAGUCAAAAAAUCAGCUCAAGUGAAGAAAUCUUAUCCAAAACAUCAUCCAUAACUUUAUCUUAGCUUAUCUUAUCCAAACAAACCUUAUCCUAUCCUAUCUUAUCCAAAUCUGAAUUCAUUGAUAUUUUAGCUGCAAAGUGGGGUUCCUAACUAGAUUAGAAUGCUUAAAAUUAGAUUUCUAGAAGCCCUAUCCCUGCACACAUAAGGUGCCGCACCUAUCCCUUUCUAGAACUUGUUUUCCUUGCCUUGCAAGGCUUUCUAGAAGCCUUAUCCACCCUAUCCCUUACCUGCCGCACCUAGGAGGCCUUUUCCUUUGCAAAAUCUGAUUGUUUAAACCUAUUUCCUUGUGGAUUUGGGUUAUCCAAGUCCAUAUCUGAUUACCCUAGGGUUUUAAGUGCCUAUAUAUACUCAUAUAAACCCCUAGAUCAGAUCACCACUCACCACAAUUCACAAUUCACUCCAGAAAUUCACAAGAACCCUUUGCCGCACCAAUUCACUCCCAUUCACCAUACAAUCUGACCUUGCCGCACCCCCCACCCUUCCUAAACACUUCUACCUUAGUCCAUACUCAUCCACCCAUACAUAUAAGUCCCAACCUGUCCCUAAAGUCCUUUGCCGCACCAAGGAGGAGGAGAAGGAAGCUUGGAAGUUCAUGCAAUUCAAGUUCGCGUCGCUGGAAUUUCUAGGUGUUUCUUUUCCUUUGAUUUCAAUGUUUAAAUUCAAUUCUCUUUGUUUUGUGUGUAUGAGGAACUAAACCCCCCCUUGGCUAGGGGGGGAUUCGAAAUACAUGUUUAUGCUUGCGAUAUGAUUUGAUUACUUCUAAUUGCGUUUCAUAAGUUGUGAAUUCAAUUUACUUAUCUAUGUGAAUUACAUUGAUUUAUGUGUGUUGGUUGGGAGUGCACGCUUAAUUAUCAUGCAUAAGUUGAAUGCUAGGAUAUAAGGAUAUUUCACCUAAUCGUUAUGGACUUAUAUUCACAAGUAGUAAAGGUUGAUGAUCUCAAUCG
RNAcentral lists this long non-coding RNA (4280 nucleotides) under Malus domestica (apple). Its description in RNAcentral is "long non-coding RNA (MDOM_LNC020534)". Lineage: Eukaryota; Viridiplantae; Streptophyta; Magnoliopsida; Rosales; Rosaceae. The record is from RNAcentral.